RNAcentral lists this ribosomal RNA (258 nucleotides) under uncultured bacterium. Its description in RNAcentral is "partial 16S ribosomal RNA". It matches the Rfam family "Bacterial small subunit ribosomal RNA", at positions 96 to 354 of the family's 1533-position model. The record is from RNAcentral.
CGGCGGACGGGUGAGUAACGCGUGGGCAACCUGCCUUAUACAGGGGGAUAACAGUUAGAAAUGACUGCUAAUACCGCAUAAGCGCACAGGAACGCAUGUUCCGGUGUGAAAAACUCCGGUGGUAUAAGAUGGGCCCGCGUCUGAUUAGGUAGUUGGUGGGGCAGCGGCCUACCAAGCCGACGAUCAGUAGCCGACCUGAGAGGGUGACCGGCCACAUUGGGACUGAGACACGGCCCAAACUCCUACGGAAGGCAGCAG